GGUUCAAAAGUGAAAGACGGUCUUGCUGUCACUUAUAGAUGGAUCCGCGCUGCAUUAGCUAGUUGGUAAGGUAACGGCUUACCAAGGCAACGAUGCAUAGCCGACCUGAGAGGGUGAUCGGCCACACUGGAACUGAGACACGGUCCAGACUCCUACGGGAGGCAGCAGUAGGGAAUCUUCCGCAAUGGGCGAAAGCCUGACGGAGCAACGCCGCGUGAGUGAUGAAGGUCUUCGGAUCGUAAAACUCUGUUAUUAGGGAAGAACAUAUGUGUAAGUAACUGUGCACAUCUUGACGGUACCUAAUCAGAAAGCCACGGCUAACUACGUGCCAGCAGCCGCGGUAAUACGUAGGUGGCAAGCGUUAUCCGGAAUUAUUGGGCGUAAAGCGCGCGUAGGCGGUUUUUUAAGUCUGAUGUGAAAGCCCACGGCUCAACCGUGGAGGGUCAUUGGAAACUGG
This 457-nucleotide ribosomal RNA is filed under the name Staphylococcus aureus. Its description in RNAcentral is "bacterial SSU rRNA". It matches the Rfam family "Bacterial small subunit ribosomal RNA", at positions 191 to 636 of the family's 1533-position model. Lineage: Bacteria; Bacillati; Bacillota; Bacilli; Caryophanales; Staphylococcaceae. The record is from RNAcentral.